GAGAGAGAGAGUUUUUCGGCUUCUCAUAAGGAGAAGAUAUUUGAGUUAGUUUUAGAGAGAGAGAGAGAAAGAGAGGAGGCUUUGGAAUCGGUUGACUCGGCCCAAGUUGUCCACAUUGCCCCCACAUUGGGUCCCAUGGUGCUUGAAUUCAUCAAGUGAAACCUUUGAACUAGGAAAGAAGCUCCUUUCUAGUUCCUUUGCUUCAACCAAUGCCUUUGACAAGCAUGAAGGGAAGGAACUC
RNAcentral lists this long non-coding RNA (241 nucleotides) under Phoenix dactylifera (date palm). RNAcentral describes it as "long non-coding RNA (PDAC_LNC001961)". Lineage: Eukaryota; Viridiplantae; Streptophyta; Magnoliopsida; Arecales; Arecaceae. The record is from RNAcentral.